RNAcentral lists this long non-coding RNA (397 nucleotides) under Lynx pardinus (Iberian lynx). The record is from RNAcentral. Lineage: Eukaryota; Metazoa; Chordata; Mammalia; Carnivora; Felidae.
UCAGGAGCAGGAGAGGCCUGCCAUCACCAGCCCCACAGAACAAGCCAGGAAGCAUUCUCCUGCAGCCUUCCAGAACAAGACAGCGCUGGGGUCAGGCUGAGUUAGCUCUGUAGGGCUGGAAGAGGCUCUCUCCCCCAGAUGCUGAGUGACUGGAAGCCAGCAGGGAGGGAGUGCUGGCAGGGCCUGCUGCCGCUGGAGGUGAGGCCCGAGGGGGCUGGGCCUGAGGCUGGGCAGAGGGAACACGGGGUGCAGAAAACCGGCGCACAGGACAGCGACAGAAAGUAUUCUGUUCCACCUUGGGAGAAAAAUAGUGCUGUUCAAAACGGCCAGACACUGGACUCUGACGGUUGCCCUCCCUUCAUUUUGACCCUUAAGCACCUCCACAUUUCACGUCUGU